UACGUAGGGUGCAAGCGUUGUCCGGAAUUAUUGGGCGUAAAGAGCUCGUAGGCGGUCUGUUGCGUCGGCUGUGAAAACCCGGGGCUCAACUCCGGGCCUGCAGCCGAUACGGGCAGACUAGAGUUCGGCAGGGGAGACUGGAAUUCCUGGUGUAGCGGUGAAAUGCGCAGAUAUCAGGAGGAACACCGGUGGCGAAGGCGGGUCUCUGGGCCGAUACUGACGCUGAGACGCGAAAGCAUGGGGAGCAAACAGG
Molecule: ribosomal RNA, 253 nt
Filed under: uncultured bacterium
Lineage: Bacteria
Description: partial 16S ribosomal RNA
Rfam family: Bacterial small subunit ribosomal RNA
Source: RNAcentral